CGUAGGUGGCAAGCGUUGUCCGGAAUUAUUGGGCGUAAAGCGCGUGCAGGCGGCUUCUUAAGUCCAUCUUAAAAGUGCGGGGCUUAACCCCGUGAUGGGAUGGAAACUGAGAGGCUGGAGUAUCGGAGAGGAAAGUGGAAUUCCUAGUGUAGCGGUGAAAUGCGUAGAGAUUAGGAAGAACACCGGUGGCGAAGGCGACUUUCUGGACGACAACUGACGCUGAGGCGCGAAAGCGUGGGGAGCAA
RNAcentral lists this ribosomal RNA (245 nucleotides) under uncultured bacterium. RNAcentral's name for it is "partial 16S ribosomal RNA". It matches the Rfam family "Bacterial small subunit ribosomal RNA", at positions 526 to 771 of the family's 1533-position model. The record is from RNAcentral.